UGAGCGACCUGCCGAUCAGAGGGGGAUAGCCGGCCCAACGGCCGGGUAAUACCGCAUACGCUUUCGGGACCGCAUGGUCCUGUAAGGAAACCUCAGGGGCUGAUCGAGGGGCUCGCGGCCUAUCAGCUAGUUGGCGGGGUAACGGGCCCACCAAGGCAACGACGCGUAGCCGACCUGAGAGGGUGAUCGGCCACAUUGGAACUGAGACACGGUCCAGACUCCUACGGGAGGCAG
This 234-nucleotide ribosomal RNA is filed under the name uncultured bacterium. RNAcentral describes it as "partial 16S ribosomal RNA". It matches the Rfam family "Bacterial small subunit ribosomal RNA", at positions 118 to 351 of the family's 1533-position model. The record is from RNAcentral.